Pseudomyrmex gracilis is the source of this 397-nucleotide long non-coding RNA. RefSeq lists it as uncharacterized. Lineage: Eukaryota; Metazoa; Arthropoda; Insecta; Hymenoptera; Formicidae. The record is from RefSeq and is a predicted model, not a curated record. The transcript is spliced from 2 exons.
UACAUCCGAGAUUAAUUCAAGACAAUCUGCUGUUCCUACUCCAGCAGCAUUAAUUGAAACAAUAAUUAGCAGCGAUACUGAUGAUGAAUAUUCUACAUCAGAAGUUAAUUCAAAACAAUCUGCUGUUUCCAAUCCAGCAAUAUUAAUCAAUGAAGAUUCACAAAGUAAUGAAGAUUUUUCAUUAAAAAGGAAAAACAAGAAACUUGUAAAUCCAACUGCAAAGCGUAUCUGCUAUCCCCGAUUUAUUGGAGAUCUUUUUUGUCUAUUCUUAUCAAAAUUCAACACGCAUACAACAGUUCUAUGUAUAGUAAACGAUUUUAGUGACACAAAGAGAAAAAAAUUUAUGUAUUUCUAAGAUGAUUAUAAAAUUUGUGAUAAAGAGAUUUUCCCAAUAAGA